AUUGGCUGGGCAUGGUCUCCCAGCACUUUGGGCAGCAGAGGAGGGCAGACCACCUGAGGUCAGGAGUUCGAAACCAGCCUGGUCAACAUGGCAAAACCCCGUCUAUACUAAAAAUACAAAAAUUAGCCAGGCGUGGUAGCAGGCACCUGUAAUCCCAUCUGCUGAGGUAGGAGAAUCGCUUGAACCUGGGAGGCAGAGGUUGCAGUGAGCCGAGAUUGUACCAAUGCACUCCAGCCUGGGAAACAGAGCAAAACUCUGUCUCAAAAAAACAAAAAAAAAAUUAUUGAGUUUAACACAAGAUUUUCCAAAGAGUAUUUGUGUCUCAUUUCAUUUUAUGUAAAUGUUCAAUAUUUUAACUUCUUUUUCACACACCUAAAGUUUUUGAAAGUUGUGAAACUUAAAUGUGUUUAGAUGUGGACUUUAGAGGUCAACUGAAACAUGCCUGGGGGAACACAGAUGUCACCGGGUUACAGGGGAAGGAACAACUGUGUAAAGACCCUGGGUAACAGACUAAACACCCGAAUUGAAUCUGGGGGACUCGAGCUCAAAGUGUUGUCAUGGUUACAACCAUGGCCACGUGGGUAAGUCCUCCCAGAAAGUCACCAAGUCCCAGGCACGGAACUUCAAUUCUGCAAGGUUGCUACGUUCAUGACACGCUCGCUCACUGGGCACAUGCACCAGGUACAUGCACUGGGUACCCGUGAGACAGAGGCUACUUGGGGGAUACAGGGUCAAUGUGGCUGAGUAGUGCCUUUGGGCUAAGCCCUGGCUGUCUACAAGCCCGCAGUACCAUUAGUGUACAACGGAGACUGCCUACUGGGGCCCGUUCCCUGCAGGCAAACAUACACAGGAAGCCAAAAGAAAACUGAAGGCUGGCUGGUGAACACUCAGCCGUGGGAUACAGUGACACAAGGAGCCAGUUAUGGAAAGCAGCAGCCAGAUGGAUGGUGAAUCCCCCACCUGGACAGUGAGAGGCUGGCACCCCCGGGUUCCUACUCCUGCUCUCCCGGAUAGAUUAAGUUACUAACCUCUCUGAUGGUGUGCAAUGCACAGACAGACAGGCAGCAGCCCGCACAGCCUGUAUCCCCCACUGACUCAAACCCUAACACAGAAUGCAUCCCCAGUAAAUAAACUGUAGGGGCUACCCAGGGAUAAGGCAGGGAUUUCUCUAGGACAUCACCCACCCAGCUUCCUUAAGCUAGAACACCAGCAGCCGGCGUAACUCGCUACUGAGAUGAAAGUCUUUCUAUCCGUAUUUGAGUGCCACAUCAACCUUUCUUCAGACUCAAUUUCCCAUGGUGUCUAAAUCCUGAGCAAAGACAAGCUGGCAGUUUGUCUCAUUCCACUGUUUUUAAGAGGCAAAAAAAAAAAAAAAAAAAA
This 1380-nucleotide long non-coding RNA is filed under the name Homo sapiens (human). RNAcentral describes it as "HSALNT0158333". Lineage: Eukaryota; Metazoa; Chordata; Mammalia; Primates; Hominidae. The record is from RNAcentral.